GAUGAACGCUAGCGGCAGGCCUAACACAUGCAAGUCGAGGGAGAAGCCUUUCGGGGCAGAAACCGGCGCACGGGUGCGUAACGCGUAUGCAACCUACCUUUCGCAGGGGGAUAGCCCGAAGAAAUUUGGAUUAAUACCCCAUAAUAUUGUUGGAUGGCAUCAUCUGAUAAUUAAAACUGCGGUGGUGAAAGAUGGGCAUGCGUCCUAUUAGCUAGUUGGAGUGGUAACGGCACCCCAAGGCUACGAUAGGUAGGGGUCCUGAGAGGGAGAUCCCCCACACUGGUACUGAGACAGGGACCAGACUCCUACGGGAGGCAGCAGUGAGGAAUAUUGGUCAAUGGUCGGAAGACUGAACCAGCCAUGCCGCGUGCAGGAAGAAUGCCUUAUGGGUUGUAAACUGCUUUUAUAUGGGAAGAAUAAGGUGUACGUGUACAUUGAUGACGGUACCAUAUGAAUAAGCAUCGGCUAACUCCGUG
RNAcentral lists this ribosomal RNA (476 nucleotides) under uncultured bacterium. RNAcentral's name for it is "partial 16S ribosomal RNA". It matches the Rfam family "Bacterial small subunit ribosomal RNA", at positions 28 to 507 of the family's 1533-position model. The record is from RNAcentral.